AAACAACUCUUAAGCCUGCGGCUGCUUCAACAACGAAGCCAGAUGAAGCACCAGAGCAGCCUCCUGCAGAAACUACUCUUAAGCCUCUGGCUCCUUCAACGUCGAAGCCAGAUGAAGCACCAGAGAAGUCUCCUGUUGAAACACCUCUUAAGCCUCCGGCUGCUUCAACGUCGAAGCCAGAUGAAGAACCAGAGAAGUCUCCUGCUGAAACACCUCUUAAGCCUCCAGCUGCUUCAACGUCGAAGCCAGAUGAAGAACCAGAGCAGCCUCCUGCUGAAACAACUCUUAAGCCUCCGGCUGCUUCAAUGUCGAAGCCAGAUGAAGAACCAGAGCAGCCUCCUGCUGAAACAACUCUUA
RNAcentral lists this long non-coding RNA (357 nucleotides) under Nicotiana tabacum (common tobacco). RNAcentral's name for it is "long non-coding RNA (NTAB_LNC016541)". The record is from RNAcentral. Lineage: Eukaryota; Viridiplantae; Streptophyta; Magnoliopsida; Solanales; Solanaceae.